Molecule: ribosomal RNA, 253 nt
Filed under: uncultured bacterium
Lineage: Bacteria
Description: partial 16S ribosomal RNA
Rfam family: Bacterial small subunit ribosomal RNA
Source: RNAcentral
UACGGAGGGGGCUAGCGUUGUUCGGAAUUACUGGGCGUAAAGCGCACGUAGGCGGCUUUGUAAGUUAGAGGUGAAAGCCUGGAGCUCAACUCCAGAAUUGCCUUUAAGACUGCAUCGCUUGAAUCCGAGAGAGGUGAGUGGAAUUCCGAGUGUAGAGGUGAAAUUCGUAGAUAUUGGGAAGAACACCGGUGGCGAAGGCGGCCAUCUGGACCACAACUGACGCUGAGGCGCGAAAGCGUGGGGAGCAAACAGG